GCCGACAACUUACUUGUUCUAGUUGCAGAGGUGGUCAUGGAGAAGGAUGUGGGCUCACCAAAUAAACCAAAUAAGAAGGCCCGUCGAAAAAGGGCAGCUAAGCCUGUGGGCGGUCGGAGCACCCGCAUUAGGAUCGAAAGUCCCCUAGCACUGCCGGCUUCUGAAUCAGGAGGUCCUGAAUAUCCCCACACUAGCGACCUUUGAAUGGUAAGAGUUGGCUCGACCUCUCCAACCUUCGAUGG
This 242-nucleotide long non-coding RNA is filed under the name Elaeis guineensis (African oil palm). RNAcentral describes it as "long non-coding RNA (EGUI_LNC041516)". Lineage: Eukaryota; Viridiplantae; Streptophyta; Magnoliopsida; Arecales; Arecaceae. The record is from RNAcentral.